ACAACAUCUGUAGAGAUGUACAAACACUAGCGGCAGGGUAGCCUAACGUUAGUCGUUAGAGCGUUGAGCCAGUAACCGAAAGGGUGCCGGAUCGAAACCCCGAGAUGACAAGAGAAAGUAGCUAGCUCAUGCAUCUGUAUCCAUUGCGGAGGUGAAGACUGAGGGAGGCUGCCAUAAACAAACUUCGAGUCUAAAUUCCUAUUCUCCACCUUCAUGGAGAAGUUGGACCAUCACAAAACUGUUGUCCUUGUUCAAAAUGUAACGUUAUUCAUAUUUUUUUAAAUGUAACCUUUAUUAUACUAGUCAAUAUGAGAGAAGGUGCUGCAAAGGAGAUGCAGAUCACCCUGGAAGUGCUACGGGGUAUGCGCUCAUGAUACAGUCACAUUACAGUCAAUAAUUACAUUUGGUGACUGUUAUGUUCUGUGAAUUACUGAUGUCCCCUGUAAGAAUGGAGCACCCUUGGUCAUGCGCAGUGUUGUUCUAUGUUAUUCUGGUACUAACUGAUUCCAGUAAAAUGUGAAGCUCCAGUUCCA
This is a long non-coding RNA of Salvelinus namaycush (lake trout), 533 nucleotides long. RefSeq lists it as uncharacterized. The transcript has 3 exons. The record is from RefSeq and is a predicted model, not a curated record. Lineage: Eukaryota; Metazoa; Chordata; Actinopteri; Salmoniformes; Salmonidae.